Molecule: long non-coding RNA, 653 nt
Organism: Gallus gallus (chicken)
Lineage: Eukaryota; Metazoa; Chordata; Aves; Galliformes; Phasianidae
Exons: 3
Source: RefSeq, a predicted model, not a curated record
CAGUUCUUUCACCGAGGGAACCCCGAGAUAACAGAGCAGCCCGGCAGCUCUCGCGAGAACGGCUGACGUGAAGUGGGCGUUGCCAGGGCAGCGGCUCUGCAUCCACGCCCUCUGCCUCGAAAUAGCCUCGGGGAGGGUAGGGAUCAGAGAUGGAGAGGAGGAGUUAGGGUGUGUGAAUCACGUGGGCUGUUCAAACGAGGAGAAACUGUAAGCCACGCGUUCAUGGGACUACACAGUGAGGAGGGUUGUUAUCACUGCAAAGCAACUCCUUUUUGAACAGACUGAUUCAAUGCCUUUCUCCCACCACAUUUGCUAGUUCCAAAUCUGUUAUUCUCAACAUGGUUUCACCAAUAGCAGCCACAGAGAUCUGUCUUCAGAGCCAGAUGUGGAGCAAACAGCACCAUUUUUGUUCCUGAAUUCCUAUUUUAUGUCUCCUUUUCAGCAAGCCCAGAGAGGACAGGUACUUUCCUUAUGUAAGAACUUACAUUAAAACUAGGCAAAUGAAUCUUUUUUGCAUGACUGCAACACACAGUACAGCUAGAAAUAUGUAACGUUAAACCUAUGCAAUGCUUUUAACCUUGAUAAUUACUUCUGGUUCAUUGUAAGUACUAAAUUAUUUCUACACAAGAUAUUUGCCUAGCUGUGUUUGUAUG